UCAUUUUUGCCAGUUGUCUAACUCAAUUAGCCGACAAGUGUAAAAGGAUAUAUUUUUGGCGCAAAGUUUUACAAGUAAAAAUAGUUUUCAUUGUCAUUUUAUCUGCUGUAAUACUUUCAAACAUUAGAUUCUUUUAUUUCUUUAUUUAGGUCGUUCUCAUGUCGGAGCUUUACUUGGAAAUAGGGGUUAAAUCUAAAAUAGACGGACACGUGUACUAAUGUUAUAUCGAAUUAAUUGUAACAUAUCAGUUUACGGAAAAGGAUUUAAUAUUUUUAGUUGUGUUUUUAUAGGAAAUUUGAACACGUGUACUUGUUUUUGAAAAAUGUGCUUAUAUGGUGCCGGAUAAA
RNAcentral lists this long non-coding RNA (347 nucleotides) under Mytilus galloprovincialis (Mediterranean mussel). Lineage: Eukaryota; Metazoa; Mollusca; Bivalvia; Mytilida; Mytilidae. The record is from RNAcentral.